RNAcentral lists this RNase P RNA (403 nucleotides) under Streptomyces sp. Z38. RNAcentral describes it as "RNase P RNA component class A". It matches the Rfam family "Bacterial RNase P class A". Rfam says of the family: Ribonuclease P (RNase P) is a ubiquitous endoribonuclease, found in archaea, bacteria and eukarya as well as chloroplasts and mitochondria. Its best characterised activity is the generation of mature 5'-ends of tRNAs by cleaving the 5'-leader elements of precursor-tRNAs. The record is from RNAcentral. Lineage: Bacteria; Bacillati; Actinomycetota; Actinomycetes; Kitasatosporales; Streptomycetaceae.
CGAGCCGGGCGGACGGCCGCGUGGAGUCCCCUUAGGGGGCUUCCCGAGGAACGUCCGGGCUCCACAGGGCAGGGUGGUGGCUAACGGCCACCCGGGGUGACCCGCGGGACAGUGCCACAGAGAACAGACCGCCCGGCGCUCAGGCGCCGGGUAAGGGUGAAACGGUGGUGUAAGAGACCACCAGCGCCUGAGGUGACUCAGGCGGCUAGGUAAACCCCACCCGGAGCAAGGUCAAAAGGAAGCACCCCGGUGCUUCUGCGUGGACGUUCGAGGGCUGCCCGCCCGAGUCCGCGGGUAGACCGCACGAGGCCGGUGGCAACACCGGUCCUAGAUGGAUGGCCGUCGCCGGUGGGUCCGCGAGGACCCACCGGAACAGAACCCGGCGUACAGCCCGGCUCGUCUG